CUUUUUUUUUUUUUAAUUUUUAUUUAUGAUAGUCACAGAGAGAGAGAGAAAGGCAGAGACACAGGCAGAGGGAGAAGCAGGCUCCAUGCACCGGGAGCCCGACGUGGGAUUCGAUCCCGGGUCUCCAGGAUCGCGCCCUGGGCCAAAGGCAGGCGCCAAACCGCUGCGCCACCCAGGGAUCCCUACCCUUCUUGUUUAAAACAACCUGCAACUCGGUUUCAUGUUUGGUCUUUACUUGAAGACCCAGGGAACUCCAAGCUAGUGGAUGAAACGGAAAGCCCCAAAGAAAGAAUAAAGGAGUUAAGCAGGAAGCAGAAAGGGGUGCUCGGCGGGCCGCAGGGAGGGGACCCACACCCCGUCCUCCGGGCGGGCACUGGCGUUUUCCAGUCUCCCAAGACCAUUUUACGGACGAGGAAACGCGUCGUCAGCUCCCUUCAGCAGCUGAUGCAGCCAGACCGACGGAGCCUGCUUUACGACCGGUGGCCCUGUUGACUGCACCCGGAGGCUGCAGUGUCCCCAGCUUCCCGCAGGCCCGGAAGAGCCGCGCAGCCCAGAGUUCCUUGAUUGACCGUCCAGAGUGAGCCCGGAAGGGCGCCCGAGCAAGGAGAAAACAACUCACACCACGUUCCCCCACCCCCGGCCGGGCCAGAGCCCUGCCCUUGCCCCAUGUAAUGUGCAUCUGCUGUAUACCCAGGCCCAGGUUAGGCCCUUUCCUAGGCGGACUUGGGGAAACCUGAAGGUUGGGGGUGGGAGGGUGGUGAGUUCACUAAAUUAAGUUCAGAAGCUGAUUUGCUUUGCUUUUGUUUUUCUUUUGGCCAACCUCCAGCACCAUCAUUCAGCCAUUCCAUCACCCUCUGUGGAGCACCUACUGUGUUGUGUGCAGGGCCUCUGUGGUAGGCCAGGGUUUUCCACCAUCCCUCAUCACCUCCUCAGUUGAUGCUCCCCUAUGGGCCAGGAAAUACCCACCACAAUGAAGAAGUCCGCUUUAGGCUGAUGUCACAAUUUCUCCUUUAGGUCGACCCCCUUUUCUGUUUUUACUUAAGUAAAUAUAUUUCAAAAGGGAAACUUAAUGUCACCACCAAGAAUGGAAAACCAGUUUAUCUUGCCAUAAAUAGAAAGAAAUUGAAAAAACGAUGAAAUGAGAGCAAAACCCAGGAAUUCCUUCCUCGGGGACACUCUGGGCCAGGCCCAGAGCGGGAAUGUCUAAAUAUCCAGAAAGCGUUAAAAGCAGGGAAGCCCCAAGCCAAGCCAAAGAAGGGUGCAGGAGAGGCCACGGGAAUCCACUUUGUGGUUUUGUUUCUGAGGGCCCCAGCACACAGUAGGUGCUCAAUAAUGUGCCAAGCCUUGGCAGUGAGCACCUACUAUGCGUGGGGUUUACCUGCAUCCACCAGCAUCCUUUCAGGGCCUUCGAGUUUAUAGACCCAUUUCCAGGGUCACAAAUGAAGGUGGUGGUGGUGGCAGGUAGCAGGGACCCCACAGGGCCUCUCUGGGG
Molecule: long non-coding RNA, 1492 nt
Filed under: Canis lupus dingo (dingo)
Lineage: Eukaryota; Metazoa; Chordata; Mammalia; Carnivora; Canidae
Description: lncRNA (ENSCAFG00020012135.1)
Source: RNAcentral